GUUGCUAUGAGUUACUAUAUGGCUAAGAACAAGUGUAGUAUCUGUUCUUAUCAGUUUAAUAUCUGAUAUGUUCUCUCAAUGAGAGUGUUUAUAUUAAACAGAGUUUUAGAACAGGGAGCUAAAAUAGGGUAGGGCUCUACACUAACUUUUUUUUUUUUCAGGAGCACACGUGCUCCUAAGUUAAAAAUUUUA
Molecule: small nuclear RNA, 192 nt
Organism: Neoarius graeffei (lesser salmon catfish)
Lineage: Eukaryota; Metazoa; Chordata; Actinopteri; Siluriformes; Ariidae
Product: U2 spliceosomal RNA
Exons: 1
Source: RefSeq, a predicted model, not a curated record